UACAGAGGUCCCAAGCGUUGUUCGGAUUCAUUGGGCGUAAAGGGUGUGUAGGUGGCGCCGUAAGUCGGGUGUGAAAUUUCGGAGCUUAACUCCGAAACUGCAUUCGAUACUGCGGUGCUUGAGGACUGGAGAGGAGACUGGAAUUCAUGGUGUAGCAGUGAAAUGCGUAGAGAUCAUGAGGAAGACCAGUGGCGAAGGCGGGUCUCUGGACAGUACCUGACACUGAGGCACGAAGGCCAGGGGAGCAAACGGG
This 253-nucleotide ribosomal RNA is filed under the name uncultured bacterium. RNAcentral describes it as "partial 16S ribosomal RNA". It matches the Rfam family "Bacterial small subunit ribosomal RNA", at positions 524 to 776 of the family's 1533-position model. The record is from RNAcentral.